UAUGUCAGCUGUACAAAGGGCACCGAAUUUUAUCUGUGUACACUGACAAUCUGUAUUUUUCGUUAGGAAAAACACACACAGAAAAAAAAAAAAAAAAAACAAAACCCACAAGUGAAAGAUUUCAGAGGCUAUUCUGGUGUUUUUCUGCUAGCCACAAGAUGGUGCAGAGUACCAACAAAGAUGGACAUGUCAUUACCGUACUGGUGUCUGCAUUACCCAGGUCGUGCUUUGACAGCAUGGGCUUUUAUUGCUCAGCGGCAAAGGAUGGGAAUCUCUGCUGAGGAUCAGACUGCUAUGCCUUCGUGUCAACUUCUUGUAGGGAGCAUACUGUAUAAUGAGGCAAUAGGAAGCAGUAUUUGAUGCUUUGCUCGCUGAUAGCCAAUACUGAAUAUAUUGCAGUUGUUUGAACUGAUUGUCAAGGGAGAGGUCAUGAGCGCUCAAGUGAGUGUCAAACAGUGUGCAGCUCACCUCUACAACACUGGCCAAGGCUGUAGGUGAUAACCUGGAGCUGGACUUGUGGGAAAACCAAGCAGCUUUCAGGAGAGAGGGCUUUGAGCCAUCUUCCACUGAGAGGUGUAAAAUGUUAUGAAUCCAAGGUAUCGUCAUCCUCAACCCCUUCUACAAUUAUGCUGGCCACUAAUAUUCAGAAAGGACAGUUUUGUUAUUAAUGCUUCUCCCAUCAGGUUUUCUAGUGAGACUGAUGUGACCACAGUUAAUGUUUUAAAUAGCUGCUUUUGGGACUGCACCUCUGCCUCUGUACUGCUAGUUGUAAACAGCAAGGACAAGGAACCCAAACAAACAGGGGAGAGGGGGCUGUUUUUUCAGACAUUUUUGUAUUUGGAUGUACUUUUUACCUCUGAGUUUUUAGUCUUGAAGUCUGUGUAUAACACAGGUAUGAACAUUUUGUCAUCAAAUUUGCACACAGACAAUAAAAUAAUGAGGAUAUCUCCCCUCCGCAAGGCUUGGGCUAUCAAAAGAAUUUUAAGCUGAAUCUUGCCCUAGUGAGUCCGUGUUGGUGUGAGUGCAUGGACUGCACAGGAGCUUGCACUGCUGCAGAACUCAUCUACCAAAGGUACUGUGUGCUGGACGAAACUGACUCUGCCCUUUAGUGAGGGUACCAGUAUCACUCCACAGCUCCCUCUGGGCAAUUUUCUGUUAGGGUUGCAGAAUGAGACCACCUUGCCUGCUGCUUACGUGCUAAAAUGGCAGGUACUUUUUCCUCUAAAAACUUACAGUAUGUAACCACGCUUAUAAAUUCACAAGGAACCACAUGAACAAUCCAGUUCUGCUCCAUUUCUGCACCAAAACCAGCAUUUUUCUUGAGUUCGGGUGUGAAAACGUUUGUGUGUAUUUGACUGUAUGCGAGAGUUCAGGGCGACUCCUGAGAAAGUGCAGGGAGGACCAGACAUCCUGGAAGAUCUCAGAAGUGUUGUUUCAUCUCACACGCAGCACUGCUACAAUAUCAGAUGGAAUUUGAAGGCAUGUCUGUCUCUACAGAAUGCAACAGCAAGAUCCUGAAGUGAUGAUUACACCCAAAACCUGUGAUUUCAUGUUCAGCUGAUUGCUUUUGACCAGUUUGAGAACAUUAGUAGCUUGCUGAAAUCCUUGUGGAUUAUCUGCAGGAGUCGCCUUUCUGGAGGACUUUGCUUUGGAGAGGAAGGUGAUGACUCUGGUUUUCCUGCUGUGUAUUGAAGUACAUGGCUCUAGUUGCACAAAACAAGAGGUUCACUAUGUGAUGACAUGGACAAAGCACCCCCGCGUCUUACAAAAACAGUUUCUUGCAAGUGUGAAAUCUAAAAAUAUCCCCCAGAUGGAGACACCCAGCAAUGCAGUGAGAGCAUGGAGGAAUAGAGCUUGCAAUGUGCAAAUGCAGCAGCUCUCUUCUAGGCCCAGGGGAGGUGUUGGGGGAUCCACAGCAAGUGACCGGAGGAGCAGCCAUAGCAGGUUUGCAAGAUCUAUGUGUGCAAAUUUCCCUGGCUUUCCCACCUAGAGAGUGAGCAGCUCCAAGAGGUCUGCUCUAUCCAUCCUUCCUCCCAGGCAGCAUUUGGAGGACGCCAAAGGAACGCAAGUUCUGCACUCGCGCUCUGCCGAUACGGGGAUUUUGCCUGGCACAAGGGAGCAGUGAAGGCAUAAGUUAUCAAGACACACAUAACAGCAGCAUUGUUCAGGAGCGGGUUUGUUGCACACAGGCUGGGAGUUACACAUGCAAAAAGCCCCUUUUCUGGAGGAGAACAGGAGGAGAACACCGCAGGACCAGAAUGACCUUGCACCAGUCUUCCUGGGCAACAGGUUCGCUCAUAAAAUCUGCAUCAGAGACUUCUUUGCAAUUAGGUCAUUCAAUCUUUGAUCAUUUUUCUGUUCCAUAAGGUACAGAAAAUAUUUACAUUCAACACACAAGUUCUUUCUUCAAUUCCUUGACAGCAGACCGCUUUAAUUAUAUGUGUGCUGACAGGACUACAGAGAGAUCCCAUGUGACCGCGGUGGAAGGGAAGAAAGCUUAUCAUCAGGUGACAGAAGAAUGCCCUUAUUGUUAGUGCCAAUACUUACAAAUAAACCUUUCCAGUGUGUCAUAUACCGGUAUAAAUAUACCACUCCUGUGGCAUUGAGCUAAUAUGUUACUGAAGUAAGAACCAAGGAAGGGCUGCAUCUGAACCACUUCCCUUGGGACACAUGCGCUUCAAGAUUUGGCACAGAUUAACUGUACCAACUGUGAGCUGUGUGACUCACAACACAAAGUAUGCCAAAUAAUAGAACAUUUGCUAAUAUGGUCAGAGAAGGAUCCAUAAACCUCCUUGGGUUCUAGUCUUCACUCCUUUACCCCGGUUGCUGUUACUAGUUAUGCUGCAGUAGCUCCUAAGAGUCCUAAGCCACAUGGCAGGACUUGCUCGUGCUAAGCGCUGUGCAAACACAGCAGCACAAAAUGGAUUCUGCUCUGAAAAGAUGAGCUUGCUUCCCAGCCUGGCUUCCGCUGCAAUAAGUUCAAGGAUUAAUUCCAGCUUUAUUGCAGCGCAAGUUAACAGAAUUAGAUGCUCUGAGCUUAAAUUUGCACAGGAGAAAAUAGAAGUGUUUGUUAGAUUGUGAUUUCUCAUCACAGAGCGCAGGCAGGUAUCUUCAUCAAGCCACCUCCUGCACUUCAGGAAAUAAUCUGGACUUUUACUCCUUACUGUACUUCAGCAAACCAGCUGCUCCAAAGAUCAAUAAAUUUCACAGUGAAAUAGGAUAUUAUCUGCAUUGUAGUCCAUAGAAAGUUAAUCAGUAAGUACAGUGCAAAGCAAAUAAGGAACUGGGGAGAGGCGCGCAGGAUCUUUACUCCUGGCAGGAGGUGCCGAGAAGCUGUGGGCAUGGGCAGCCCAAGCGGGAAGAAGUGGUGUGCUCUGCAGGCAGGGAGAAGGACGGGAUGGAGGAAGGUGCCCUGCUUGUGAUGGAGCGAAGGGGGAUGAGUUGCCUCUGACCGGGCUUUUGUAUACCAAGGGAUAGCAACUUUCCAGGAAUUUGUAUAAUUUCACAGGUUUCUGCAUCAUUUCUGGUGUUGGUUAUUUCUCAUAACUACGUUAGAUAUAGGCAAAACGUGAAAUUCGGAUUCAGAUAUGAGCUCUGAGGCAAUACAUUGUGGCAGCUGUGUGAUUUGAAUCACUGUAUCUAUUACAGGUAUAUCGCUGAUGUAUUUUAAAUUGAAGCAUGUGCAAAUCAUUUAAUAAUAGUGUAGUUGACCCAUUCACAGCUAAAGUUAUAAGGGAGUUAAUAUGUCAUAGAUUUCUAAAACAAGAAGUGUUUUCAAAGCAUGCAUUGUCUUGCUGAAAACUGCAAAUGUGAUCUCUGAUUCCUUCUGGAAACCCGCCAUUUUCUAUAGCUCAUUUUUCACAGCAAACACAAGUUUGGUAUAUGAUUAUUAACGAAAACCAACAAUCUGUCCAAAACCUAACAGAGGGUGAACUAUGUUUUAAAUUCCUUUUCAUGGUCUGCCUUUUUUGGUUGAUAGCAUCUAUCCCCAUGAUACACUGUCUCCUAAUCUGCCCUGAUCUUGCAAACAUUUAUGUGCCAAUAACUACAUCAAGCAAACUCCUCUUACCGAAAUGCAUAGGUACUCACAGAAUGGUAGCUUUAGGUUAAUUCAGAGACUGAUCCCAACAUCAGUGCAAUACAUAGAUAUUAAUAUAGUUACUUUUACAGCUGCUACUGAUGGAUUUUCACUGCAGAAAAGAGACCAACUCCUACCAGCUAAACAGCUACGGAUAGUACAUUUGAAAACAGAGCUGCUAAAUACCAUUUUGUGCCAUUGCUUAAGGAUAGCAGCAAGUUCCCCAUUCCUUUUGAAAGGACAUAUGUGCAGGAUUUUCUAGUGAAUGUAGAGCAGAGCACUGCAUAGAAAUAUCACAGGAGCUCUGUCUUAGCUCUUAUAAUGACCCUUGAUAUUAUUUCUGCACCCACCACAAGUGCUAAUGAAUAUAUCUUCUUUAAACCCAUUCUUCCCUCUUGAGAGAAGUGAUGCUUCUGUCCAGUUGACGGAGAACUAUGGAAGAAAAAUAUAUAUUUGGCUUGAUGAAGGUAUUCCUGGACUCAUCCAAGAAGGCAGCUACAACCUGAGUUCUAGAUGACUGCAUGGUUGUAUCACUAACCUGCCAUUUGAUAGCAAUCACCUUAUUUUCCCCUAUCUAAAAUGGGGCUGCAGGCAUUUGGUUAUCUCACAGGAUGAGUUGAAAUAGAUGCACUAAUGCUUGCCAAGCUCUUUGAGAAUAUAAUGGUUACUUUGCAUCUUACUUCCUUUUUAAAUAGAGUAAAGCCAGGAGGUGUUGCAUGGCCAUUCACACCAGAUAAGGUAUUGAAUAGAUGUGUCUAGUAUAAUAAUUAACCAUGAAAAUGCUUUGCUGUGUUUUUAAUGAAUCCUUUUAAAGUGAAAAAUGCUUGCAGAAGUUUGCACCUUUGACAAUGCUAUUGUGAUCAUGUUUGUAGACUUACAGAGCAAACCACCUUGAUUACCUUGGAGAUCUCGAUGGUAGGCUUCCUUUCUCACUCUUUAUAGAAAGCAUUUUGGAAUCUGUAUAAAACAGCAAAACUUGAGAGAAAUCCAAGGGCAGAAACUGAAUUCUCAGAAGUUUCUAUGCCUGACUGCUUGCUCACUUGUUUUUGGUUUGUUUGUUUGUUUAUAGGCUUUUAUUUGGGGACCUGUAUUUCCAGCACACUGAGCUGCACUUUGAGCACAUACUUCAAGAGCUGCUGGAAAUAGCUGGGGGGGGGGGGGGGGGGGGGGGGGCAACAACCUGGUUUCUACUCAGGGAACCAUUUAAAGCACGCAGAGGGCUGGAAAGGCCCUUGAGAGAUACCUCGCCCAGCAAAUGUGCUGCAAUGCUGACAUAGGCACUGGGGUGUAAACACACCUUGGUCCCUGUGUUCUGCCUAGGUUGCCUGCCAUUAGCAGAGAUGGGGAUCCUGCAGCCUCUGACUCUUAGCUGUGGAAACCUGCCCCACUCACGAGAGAUUUGUGCAAACUGCAGGGUUUGCUCCUGUUGCAUCUCCUUGUCUUAAACGUCCUUGUCUGUGCAAAUACCUACCACAGCUCUGCAGAUUGAGUGUUAGAAAACAUAUUAACAGGGAACUACAGAAGGGAAGGGCAACUAAACACAGAGCUUUUCCUCCAAUUCACGUGGGAAGCAAAUGCAAAUUAUUACCAUUUGUAUCUUUUUGCAAAGCAUUUACCAUUCCAGGGUGAUCAGAGAAUCCCAACCUGGCAAUACACAACAGACCAUUUAUGUCCCCAACAGAGCUGUUGGGUUUUCUUACCAAGAAUGGAGAACUCAAAACCUUUGUUCCAACAAAACCACUUCUCUCACCUUGGAGUAAGCUGCUUCACAUCCAAGUGCUAGUGAGAAAAAUGAAGAACAUAGAGGCGUAUAGCCAUAGCACAUCAUCAGCGCUGGCAGGUAGUGCAUUAGGUCUGGGAUCUGUGAUCGUUAUCAGAUUCAGGCACAUCUAGCUCAGCAAAAUUGGAUCCAGAUCAGGCCUUGGCACACAACCGCAUUUCCUUCUAUUGUGACUGUAAGUACAGUUCAUAGGAAUUUCUACCGACUUUGUAUUUUCACUCUGAGGACAGGCAACUUCUAAUCCAACAUAAAGGCUCCAGGUCCUUGUUAACCCAUCACCGUUUUUCUUGAACAAAUGCGAGCAAGCAGAGUGAGCUGAUAUCAGACCGGUGUUUUGCAAUAGGUGCUCAGCGGCAGACUCAGCUGGUGGCAGGAGCUGUAAAGCUGGAUUUACUGUCUCUUUGGACUGCUGCCAUAAACAUAACCUCACGUUCUGCCAUGACUACAUAGGCUUCCCCCCUCCUUUGCUCCAGAUUUUAAACAGGAGACAUUCAUGGCACGAAUACACCUGACACUGGACAGAAAGAUCUCCCAUUUUUUGCUGAAUACCACUCUGAUAACCUUGACCCCACCUGGGCAACCUCCUUCAGGAGUAAAAAACUGCUGUUUUGGUGGGACACGUGCCAGGAGCUUGCCUGCCCAGCCACAGCAAUCUGUGCUUGUACCCUGAAACACCCCCACCAAGUCCCUGCAGCAUGUGCCUGAUUUAACUGAAAAUUUUUCAUCUUCUCAUUGAUUAGCUAUCACGAGGAGGGAACAGCAUCAUCGAUGAACUGCUCUGUUGUUCUCAGCGUAUCGUAUGCAGCCCCCAUAGAAAUCCUGUUAAUUUCAGGUUUAUUAUUUUAUUUUCUGCUUUUAUUGUCUCUCUGAAGAAAUGCUACUUCCUAAUUAAGUGCAUCAAAACCAUAAGACAGCAACCCAAAGUAUUUUCCUAUUUUAUUUCCUCAUAAAGGUUUAUUGCCGCAAGAGUGACUGUCACUAGGCAGUUAUAUCACUAUUAGUAAUAGACACUUAUAUUAACUCAAACCCCGCAUUUGUGAUGGGACCCUGUUGUUCAAGACCCUGGAAACCCACAGAAAUUCAUCAGUUUGUGUUCCAGAGCACUCCCAGAAAUAGCCGUAAACUUUCUUCAUGCUUUUCCUCAAUUUGUGACAUGGCAUUUAAUUUUUGAUUGACAAGCCCAGUACCGACAUACUUUGCCAAUUUCUGGUCCAGAUGCAGUUUGGUUAUUUGAAAAGAAACCCUCUCCACAAUGGUACAAUUGGAAUCAGCAUAUCCAUCAAAACAUGUAUUUGGACUUACUUCAGUUCAGGCUCGUACAAUCUGAGCAACAGAUAAACGCAUUAUUGAUCCUCGUAUUUUUAACUGAAAGAAAAAACUGCCCUUGAUGCUUCUAAUUACUUAGCAUAUACCCCCACUUGAUACGCCAUUCAAAGACAGACAGGAUGGAGCCAUCGUAUUUUCACAUUACUGUUUGCGUUGCAAAUGCAUUCUGGUGACGAGCAAGAAAGAUCCCGAUUGCAUAUGCAUUUUGCAGGAACACACCAAAAGCUUCGAUUGCAUUUGCGUCCUGUCUACACGACGUUACUUAGAAAAAUUACGGGAAAAAUUUCACACCCUGGAAGUGGGGAGCAAUGGUGAGAGGGGGCAAUUGCUUACUCCAACUGCGAGCGCAUGGGGGCAGAGGCUGCCAUUCCCUCCUUUAUCUCGAGGGUGCAGCCUGGAGGGCGUUA
Aquila chrysaetos chrysaetos is the source of this 7591-nucleotide long non-coding RNA. RefSeq lists it as uncharacterized. Lineage: Eukaryota; Metazoa; Chordata; Aves; Accipitriformes; Accipitridae. The transcript has 5 exons. The record is from RefSeq and is a predicted model, not a curated record.